GACGAACGCUGGCGGCGUGCUUAACACAUGCAAGUCGAACGGUGAUGCUCCAGCUUGCUGGAGUGGAUCAGUGGCGAACGGGUGAGUAACACGUGAGCAACCUGCCCCAGACUCUGGAAUAAGCGCUGGAAACGGCGUCUAAUACUGGAUACGAAACUGGCCCGCAUGGGCAUGGUUUGGAAAGUUUUUCGGUUUGGGAUGGGCUCGCGGCCUAUCAGCUUGUUGGUGAGGUAAUGGCUCACCAAGGCGACGACGGGUAGCCGGCCUGAGAGGGCGACCGGCCACACUGGGACUGAGACACGGCCCAGACUCCUACGGGAGGCAGCAGUGGGGAAUAUUGCACAAUGGGCGAAAGCCUGAUGCAGCGACGCCGCGUGAGGGAUGACGGCCUUCGGGUUGUAAACCUCUUUUAGCAGGGAAGAAGCGAAAGUGACGGUACCUGCAGAAAAAGCGCCGGCUAACUACGUG
Molecule: ribosomal RNA, 468 nt
Filed under: uncultured bacterium
Lineage: Bacteria
Description: partial 16S ribosomal RNA
Rfam family: Bacterial small subunit ribosomal RNA
Source: RNAcentral